Molecule: ribosomal RNA, 450 nt
Filed under: uncultured bacterium
Lineage: Bacteria
Description: partial 16S ribosomal RNA
Rfam family: Bacterial small subunit ribosomal RNA
Source: RNAcentral
GUGGGGAAUAUUGGACAAUGGGCGAAAGCCUGAUCCAGCCAUGCCGCGUGUGUGAAGAAGGUCUUCGGAUUGUGAAGCACUUUAAGUUGGGAGGAAGGGCAGUACGUUAAUACCUUGCUGUUUUGACGUUACCGACAGAAUAAGCACCGGCUAACUUCGUGCCAGCAGCCGCGGUAAUACGAAGGGUGCAAGCGUUAAUCGGAAUUACUGGGCGUAUAGCGCGCGUAGGUGGUUUUGUAAGUUGGAGGUGAAAUCCCCGGGCUCAACCUGGGAACUGCCUCCAAGAGUGCAUGACUAGAGUGCGGUAGAGGGUAGUGGAAUUUCCUGUGUAGCGGUGAAAUGCGUAGAUAUAGGAAGGAACACCAGUGGCGAAGGCGACUACCUGGACUGAUACUGACACUGAGGUGCGAAAGCGUGGGGAGCAAACAGGAUUAGAUACCCGGGUAGUCC